This 820-nucleotide ribosomal RNA is filed under the name uncultured marine bacterium. Its description in RNAcentral is "bacterial SSU rRNA". It matches the Rfam family "Bacterial small subunit ribosomal RNA", at positions 28 to 896 of the family's 1533-position model. The record is from RNAcentral.
AACGUACGCUGGCGGCACGCCUAACACAUGCAAGUCGAACGAAGUAGCAAUACUUAGUGGCAGACGGGUGAGUAACAUGUAGGUAUCUGCCCUUUGGCCUGGAAUAACACGAGGAAACUUGUGCUAAUACCGGAUAAGUCUUUACGGAGAAAGCUUUAUGCACCAUUGGAUGGGCCCGCGUUAGAUUAGCUAGUUGGUGGGGUAAUAGCCUACCAAGGCGACGAUCUAUAGCUGGUCUGAGAGGAUGAUCAGCCACAUUGGGACUGAGACACGGCCCAAACUCCUACGGGAGGCAGCAGUGGGGAAUCUUGCACAAUGGAGGAAACUCUGAUGCAGCGAUGCCGCGUGAGUGAAGAAGGCCCUUGGGUUGUAAAGCUCUUUCGUCGGGGAAGAAAAUGACUGUACCCGAAUAAGAAGGUCCGGCUAACUUCGUGCCAGCAGCCGCGGUAAUACGAAGGGACCUAGCGUAGUUCGGAAUUACUGGGCUUAAAGAGUUCGUAGGUGGUUGAAAAAGUUGGUGGUGAAAUCCCAGAGCUUAACUCUGGAACUGCCAUCAAAACUUUUCAGCUAGAGUAUGAUAGAGGAAAGUAGAAUUUCUAGUGUAGAGGUGAAAUUCGUAGAUAUUAGAAAGAAUACCAAUUGCGAAGGCAGCUUUCUGGAUCAUUACUGACACUGAGGAACGAAAGCAUGGGUAGCGAAGAGGAUUAGAUACCCUCGUAGUCCAUGCCGUAAACGAUGUGUGUUAGACGUUGGAAAUUUAUUUUCAGUGUCGCAGCGAAAGCGAUAAACACACCGCCUGGGGAGUACGACCGCAAGGUUA